RNAcentral lists this unclassified non-coding RNA (352 nucleotides) under soil metagenome. RNAcentral describes it as "partial contains 5.8S ribosomal RNA, internal transcribed spacer 2, and large subunit ribosomal RNA". The stretch from base 1 to 120 matches the Rfam family "5.8S ribosomal RNA", at positions 35 to 154 of the family's 154-position model. The record is from RNAcentral.
GAUGAAGAACGUAGCGAAAUGCGAUAAGUAAUGUGAAUUGCAGAAUUCAGUGAAUCAUCGAAUCUUUGAACGCACAUUGCGCCCGCCAGUAUUCUGGCGGGCAUGCCUGUUCGAGCGUCAUUACAACCCUCAGGCCCCCGGGCCUGGCGUUGGGGAUCGGCGGAGCCCCCCGUGGGCACACGCCGUCCCCCAAAUACAGUGGCGGUCCCGCCGCAGCUUCCAUCGCGUAGUAGCUAACACCUCGCGACUGGAGAGCGGCGCGGCCACGCCGUAAAACACCCAACUCUUCUGAAGUUGACCUCGAAUCAGGUAGGGAUACCCGCUGAACUUAAGCAUAUCAAUAAGCGGAGGA